GACAAUCUUUUUGCAUAUGACCCCGCUGACCAUACCCAUAGCAUACACCUUUGCCAUAACGACACUCUCCUAGGUGAUUCUUUCCAUAAAUAGUACAAAUAGGAUAUGAGGGAACCCACUGACUUCCACCUUUCUGUUACUGAGAACCUUGAAUCUUGAAAUUUUAAUUUGUCUGAACACGCUGGUCGAUCCUAGGCUUUGGUGCUGGCGCACUAGCUGAAGACGAGGCAGGUCCAGAUGACCUUUUGUGAAAGAAAACUUUGUUCCCAUUUCCUGACCGUUGUUGAGUAGACUUAUUACCUGCUGACUUGGCACUCUUAUUCAGAAAUUCCUCUCUAUCUUUUUGUUUUUCCUCCUCAACCUGUUGAGCAUACACUAUCAACCNNNNNNNNNNNNNNNNNNNNNNNNNNNNNNNNNNNNNNNNNNNNNNNUACAUGUUUUGCAAGUCCGGAUAUAAAUUUUAGCAUCUUAGCCCUCAUUGUAGAUACUAGCUCUGGAGCAUAUCGAGAAAAUUUAGUGAACUUGAGACCAUAAUCCUUCACACUCAUAUUUUCCUACUUUAAAUUCAUAAACUCUUAUACCUUGGCCUCCCUUAGCAUUUGUGGAAAAAAAUGAUCAAAGAAAGAAUCUAUAAUAUCAUCCCAUACUGCAGGAGGUGCAUUUUCACCACGAACAAGCUCCCACUGACCAUAUCGAAUUCUAGCAACAUCUUUCAACUAGUAGGAUACAAGCUUGACUCCCUCUAUGUCACUAACAUGCAUAAACCUUAAGAUCUUUUCAACUUCGUCAAUAAAAUUUUAGGGAUCCUCGUCGACCUUGGAUCCUGUAAACGUAGGUGGAUUCAUCUUGAGGAACGCUUGGAUCCUAGAAAUAUUGGAAGAGUCAUGAGAGUUGGAGCUAGUAGGACUCGAACGACUGGACUGAGAUACUACAACUUGCGUGAGCAUCUGAAUAGCCUGUCUAAAUUCGCCAUUAGUAGCAUCAAUGUGAGGAGGUUGCAUAGAGAAUGGCCUAGAUCUCCUUACUAUAGUAGGUGCCAUAGGAGAUGCAUCAAUAGUAACAUUCUUCCUAGAAGUACGAGCUCCAUUUUUGGUAUGCAUCACAUGAGUCGAGGGCAUAUUGCUAGUGUUGUCAUCGGAAAAACCCCCAGUAUUAGUAGUGGCCCGCGGCUGGUAGGUCUUU
This 1182-nucleotide long non-coding RNA is filed under the name Capsicum annuum. RNAcentral's name for it is "long non-coding RNA (CANN_LNC006197)". Lineage: Eukaryota; Viridiplantae; Streptophyta; Magnoliopsida; Solanales; Solanaceae. The record is from RNAcentral.